GGAGGAUUCGCCUAGUGGCCUAGGGCGCACGCUUGGAAAGCGUGUUGGGGGCAACCCCUCACGAGUUCGAAU
This 72-nucleotide transfer RNA is filed under the name Streptomyces sp. OspMP-M43. Its description in RNAcentral is "tRNA_Ser_GGA". Lineage: Bacteria; Bacillati; Actinomycetota; Actinomycetes; Kitasatosporales; Streptomycetaceae. The record is from RNAcentral.